This 28-nucleotide non-coding RNA is filed under the name Cricetulus griseus (Chinese hamster). Lineage: Eukaryota; Metazoa; Chordata; Mammalia; Rodentia; Cricetidae. The record is from RNAcentral.
GUGUAGUCCUGACUGUCCUAGAACUGCC